This 139-nucleotide ribosomal RNA is filed under the name uncultured eukaryote. RNAcentral's name for it is "partial 18S ribosomal RNA". It matches the Rfam family "Eukaryotic small subunit ribosomal RNA", at positions 1299 to 1458 of the family's 1831-position model. The record is from RNAcentral.
UGGUGGAGUGAUUUGUCUGGUUAAUUCCGUUAACGAACGAGACCUCGACCUGCUAAAUAGGUGGACAAACCUCCAGUUCGUAUCACACUUCUUAGAGGGACUAUCUGUGUGUAGCGGAUGGAAGUUCGAGGCAAUAACA